UAGCAAUAUAUUUGGUUGCCAAAUGACUACAAAAAUCAGAACUAAAUAGUUAAGUUUUAUCCUGAAUUUGUAUCAUUGCAGCAUGUAUAGUUCUAACACAAUUUGAAUCUAACGUGAAGAACGAUGACAUGUAACCAAUGACAAAGUUAAGAGGAGUGACUUGGAGGAGCCCCGGCUGCGAUGUGAAGACAGUAAUUAUACCCUGCAGCAUCCACAAAAGACAGCUGGUGUUUCAAGCGUGGAGUAUAUCGUUUCUGUUGUUGAGCGGAUUUGAACACCGACCGUGUUUGGUAAACACAUUUCUGGACCUCCAAAUCUUGUUCAAGUGACCGGUAUCUGCAUCAGUUGGACUGGGUGGUCAGACUGUGAUCUUACACAACCUGAGCAGAUACUUUGUAUUGAGGACAGCCGGGUGAUGAUACAAAGUACAUUACCACAAUGGGGUCAGUUACGGACACCCUUCCUUGUGGCUGCACAGCGUGAGGGGAUUUUUGUUUUCUUUCAGGCUUGAAAGCUGAAGGUAAUACAGCCAACUCUUCAAAACUGUGCUGUAUGUAAAUGUAUGUCUGAG
Long non-coding RNA from Esox lucius (northern pike), 571 nucleotides. The record is from Ensembl. NCBI's taxonomy places the organism in Eukaryota, Metazoa, Chordata, Actinopteri, Esociformes, Esocidae.